RNAcentral lists this ribosomal RNA (406 nucleotides) under uncultured bacterium. RNAcentral's name for it is "partial 16S ribosomal RNA". It matches the Rfam family "Bacterial small subunit ribosomal RNA", at positions 28 to 526 of the family's 1533-position model. The record is from RNAcentral.
GUUGAACGCUGGCGGCAGGCUUAACACCUGCAAGUCGAGCGAGCGGCAGACGGGUGAGUAAUGUCUGGGAAACUACCUGAUGGAGGGGGAUAACUACUGGAAACGGUAGCUAAUACCGCAUACCAUGAGAUGUGCCCAAAUGGGAUUAGCUAGUAGGUGGGGUAAUGGCUCACCUAGGCGACGAUCCCUAGCUGGUCUGAGAGGAUGACCAGCCACACUGGACCGGAGACACGGUCCAGACUCCUACGGGAGGCAUCAGUGGGGAAUAUUGCACAAUGGUCGCAAGCCUGAUACAGCCAUGCCGCGUGUGUGAAGAAGGCCGUCGGGUUGUAAAGCACUUUCAGCGAGGAGGCGUUACUCGCAGAAGAAGCACCGGCUAACUCCGUGCCAGCAGCCGCGGUAAUUC